UACGUAGGGGGCUAGCGUUGUUCGGAAUUACUGGGCGUAAAGCGCACGUAGGCGGACUUUUAAGUCAGGGGUGAAAUCCCGGGGCUCAACCCCGGAACUGCCUUUGAUACUGGGUGUCUCGAGUCCGGAAGAGGUGAGUGGAAUUCCGAGUGUAGAGGUGAAAUUCGUAGAUAUUCGGAGGAACACCAGUGGCGAAGGCGGCUCACUGGUCCGGUACUGACGCUGAGGUGCGAAAGCGUGGGGAGCGAACAGG
RNAcentral lists this ribosomal RNA (253 nucleotides) under uncultured bacterium. Its description in RNAcentral is "partial 16S ribosomal RNA". It matches the Rfam family "Bacterial small subunit ribosomal RNA", at positions 524 to 776 of the family's 1533-position model. The record is from RNAcentral.